RNAcentral lists this unclassified non-coding RNA (215 nucleotides) under Hevea brasiliensis (rubber tree). Lineage: Eukaryota; Viridiplantae; Streptophyta; Magnoliopsida; Malpighiales; Euphorbiaceae. The record is from RNAcentral.
AUGGUCAUAGGUAUUAUGGUGGUGAUCGGAGGUUUGAGAUUGUAAGCGGGAAGAGUUUUGCCGCCGGUGGUAACCAGAUCUACUCGACUCGUCCUCACUCGCCCGAUCGGNNNUCCGCCUCGCACGACCAGGCAGAGUCGGACCACGUCAACGCCCUGGGGUUUUAGUGAUCCAGAGAUGAAGCGAAAGAAGAGGAUUGCCAAGUACAAGGUUUA